Molecule: transfer RNA, 64 nt
Filed under: Aeluroscalabotes felinus
Lineage: Eukaryota; Metazoa; Chordata; Lepidosauria; Squamata; Eublepharidae
Description: tRNA-Val
Source: RNAcentral
CAAAGAGUAGCUUACAAAAAGCAUUUUACUUACAAUAAAACGACGUCUUCUAAGACCUCUUUGA